UCCUGGUUAACCCAGGCAGUCUCACUAGAGUUCCCACCUAAAAUGUUGGCAACUAAUGAUAAGGGUUGCGCUCGUUGCGGGACUUAACCCAACACCUCACGGCACGAGCUGACGACAGCCAUGCAGCACCUGUGCAAUAGCCCCGAAGGGAGAUUCUAUUUCUAGAACUGUCUACUGCAUGUCAAGCCUGGGUAAGGUUCUUCGCGUUGCAUCGAAUUAAACCACAUGCUCCACUGCUUGUGCGGGUCCCCGUCAAUUCUUUUGAGUUUCAGCCUUGCGACUGUACUCCCCAGGCGGUAUACUUAACGCGUUAGCUUCGGCACAAUUAGGGUUGAUUCCAAUUACACCAAGUAUACAUCGUUUACAGCAAGGACUAC
Molecule: unclassified non-coding RNA, 377 nt
Filed under: uncultured Parachlamydiaceae bacterium
Lineage: Bacteria; Pseudomonadati; Chlamydiota; Chlamydiia; Parachlamydiales; Parachlamydiaceae
Description: contains 16S-23S intergenic spacer region
Source: RNAcentral